RNAcentral lists this long non-coding RNA (281 nucleotides) under Mytilus galloprovincialis (Mediterranean mussel). The record is from RNAcentral. Lineage: Eukaryota; Metazoa; Mollusca; Bivalvia; Mytilida; Mytilidae.
UGGGCCUAAUGAUUGCCAAAACUUUUUAUAGAAAUUUGUUGUGAUACCAUCUUUACCUGGGCUUUUAUUGGGUUUUAAAUUAUUUACUGCUAGUGUUAAUUCUUCUAUUGUAACAUAUCCGUCACACGUCUGACUUUCAUGUUUUGAUAAUUUAUUUUUUACUUCGGUACUGUUAAUAUAUUCCCAUGAUUGGGCAAUGUUUUCAUUUUCUUUUGAAUAUAGUUUUUCGUAAAAUUUCUUUUCAAUUUGAAGUAUUUUACUUUGAUCUGUAACAAUAUUUC